Sus scrofa (pig) is the source of this 2288-nucleotide long non-coding RNA. RefSeq lists it as uncharacterized. The record is from RefSeq and is a predicted model, not a curated record. NCBI's taxonomy places the organism in Eukaryota, Metazoa, Chordata, Mammalia, Artiodactyla, Suidae.
CCUACGCUGGGGCUUGCAGCAACACCAGAUCCUUAGCCCACUGAGCGAGGUGAGGGGUUAAACCUGCAUCCUCAUGGAUACUAGUCUGGUUCUUAACCUGCUACUCAGUCAUUCUGUGACCUUGGUGGAGGUCCCCACCAUGGGAACGCCAAGUCUAAAUAGUUUUUAAAGCUCUUCUAGAUCUCACGGCGCGAGGGAUGGCUUGUUAUAGUUCUGUUCACAGGUGUUUCCCCCAAAUCUGCAGCUUUAACCAAGUGAUUAGGCACCUUGUAAAUGUAAGUCAUGAACGUGGAGAAGGACUCGGGGGGCAGAGGGGGUGGGAACAGGUGCAGAGCCCACCGGCUCAGUCCCCAUCCUCAGGGGCCAUGAUGUAUGGCACUGCCUGGCAGCCUGGCUUUCUCUCUUCCUUUUUAAUCAUUAACCUUGAGAGCAAAAGCCUCCUUAUUUUAAUCUUCAAGGUUGCAGUAAGUCUUCGGGUCUUUAAGUGCUUGGUUCCCAGAUGGAAGCCAACAGAAGUUCUCUCUGCUGUCAGCCCAGCCACACGAUGCCUUUGACAGAUCUUUUUCUAAAAACAGAACUUGCUGUUUCCAGGGAGCCACGAAAGGGACACUCGGAACAGAAUGCCAGUCCCAGAGGGUGUGACGAUCACACUCAGAUGAUCUCAGCAUGUGGAUGCCAGCUGCAGGGAUGUGGGGACCAGCUGGGUUUUGAGUUCCAGAUAAAACUAGCGGUAGAAGGCAGAGAGCUGACUGAUGCUUUCAGGGAGGAGCAAGAUUAGAACAGGCCAGGAGGAGUUCCUGCUGUGGUGCAAGGGGAUCAGUGGGGUCUCCGCAGCACUGGGAUGCAGGUUCGAUCCCCAGCCUGGCACAAUGGGAAAGAAGGAGGACCACCAAAACCAGUCCCAGGGCCACUAAACACCCGCUUUGAAGAAUGCAAGCUGGCACCUGUCCUGAUCUCUAUCUGCAGCCCUGUUUUCCAGUCUCAAACUGCAAGACCAUCUCCUGUUCUUUCGCAAGGGGGACACAGUCUUUAAGGCAUUAGCCUGCUGGGGUCUCCUUCGCCUGGCAAAGCAAUAAAAGGUAUUUUGUUCUCCUUCACCCAAAACUCUGCCUCCGCAUUUCUAUUCGGCACUGGGGGACAGAGGCCAAGUUUCAGCAACCUAAGGAUCCAGGGCUGCUGCAGUGGGUCGUAACUGCAGCUGAUCCCUGGGCCCGGGAACUCCCUAUGCUGUGGGGCGGCCAAAAAAGACAAGGAACGAAUUAGACCAGGAAAGGUCUUAGUGAGUUACCUGCCUCGAUCAGACCCAGAGUUUGGGGCCUUAGGUGAGGAGGAAGAAAGGGGUGUUUGGGAUGGUUCUCUGGGGCCAUGUGGGCACCCGGACUGUUGGCUGAACAGAGGUCAGGAGAGCACCGGGCUUGGUGGUGCUGUCUUAGGAUGCUUGGCUUCUACACCCACGACAAGGGACGAACUAGCCUGACUUUCUAUGUAGGAUUUCUGAGAACUGAAAAAACUAAUAAACAUCACAUUUUGUUUUGUUCGAGAAAGCAGGAGACGGGAGACGCCAAUCAUGCCUUAGUUAACAUCCAUCAGGCCACAAGUCUUUGGCCUAGAGUCAGGGAACGCCAGCACAGGGAAGCCACUUAGAGCUAAUCGGGCACAAAGGCAGAAAAAGUGCGGUUCAAAAUUCCAGAUUCGAAUGACUUUUACUGAAUCGUCACUUAGCAUUUUCACAGUCCUGACCUGCUCUCGAAGGGCUGACACCAUACGAAAACCCCUCCAGUGUCAGGAUUUGUCUAGAAAAUCUUGGACUAACUUACCUGAAAAGCUUAGAAUUUUGAUUUUGCAGGACUAUUUUGUUUUCAUAUGCUUUUUUCAUUGUUAAGAAUCAUGGCUUAAGCAUUUGUCUAAAUGCAUUUUCCCAUUUUUAUCCACAAGUACUCCCUAAGAAUACAUUGUGAUAGUAACGACAUCUUUAAAAAUGUAGCAAUAUUAUCAUAUUAAAAAAACUAGUAGCAUUCUUUAAUAUCAUCAUAUAGUCACUUCCAAUUGUAUGUCUCACCUAUGAUCUAGCUAGCUACCAAUCAUCUCUCUAUAUUCUAUUUAUCUUCUAUCUAUCCAUCUAUCAUCAUCUAUCUGUCUAUCAUCUAUCUAUCUGCAAUUUACUUGUUUAAAUCGGAACACAAAUGAUGUUCACCUAUGUCAACUGGUUGAUCUCUCUCUCUCUCUCUCUUUUUUUUUUUUUUGGUCUUUUUAGGGCUGCAUCCAUGGCGUAUGGAAGUUUCCAGGCU